AUGCUCUGUAUAAACUGAGCACUUGCAUUUGCAUCCCUGAGAGCUUUGGCGCCGAUGAAACCCCCAUUGAACUUCUACUACGUUAAAAACUUAGCUUAAAUGGACACAAUAGUAGGUGUCCCAUCCGUAAGAGCAACUUUAAGAAUCAAGACAUCCCUAGGACGUUGGCAUUUGUGAGUGCUCCAAACUAUAGUUGUUGGAUGUCACGAUCAUACAUUUUCAACCGUGUGACAAUGUGAUCUUGACACGCUUAUAACAAGUU
Long non-coding RNA from Cucurbita maxima (winter squash), 262 nucleotides. RefSeq lists it as uncharacterized. The transcript is spliced from 3 exons. NCBI's taxonomy places the organism in Eukaryota, Viridiplantae, Streptophyta, Magnoliopsida, Cucurbitales, Cucurbitaceae. The record is from RefSeq and is a predicted model, not a curated record.